GGAUUAGAUACCCUGGUAGUCCACGCCGUAAACGAUGAGUGCUAGAUGUCAGGAGCUUUGACCCUCUUGGCGUCGCAGCUAACGCAAUAAGCACUCCGCCUGGGGAGUACGGCCGCAAGGCUAAAACUCAAAGGAAUUGCCGGGGGCCCGCACAAGCGGUGGAGCAUGUGGUUUAAUUCGACGCAACGCGCAGAACCUUACCUGGGCUAGAAAGCGUAAGAACCCUGGUGAAAACUGGGGGUGCCUUUCGGGGAACUUACGAUUAGGUGCUGCAUGGCUGUCGUCAGCUCGUGCCG
RNAcentral lists this ribosomal RNA (296 nucleotides) under uncultured bacterium. Its description in RNAcentral is "partial 16S ribosomal RNA". It matches the Rfam family "Bacterial small subunit ribosomal RNA", at positions 775 to 1067 of the family's 1533-position model. The record is from RNAcentral.